CCUACGGGUGGCAGCAGUGAGGAAUAUUGGUCAAUGGACGAGAGUCUGAACCAGCCAAGUAGCGUGAAGGAUGACUGCCCUAUGGGUUGUAAACUUCUUUUAUAUGGGAAUAAAACGUUCCACGUGUGGGAUUUUGUAUGUACCAUAUGAAUAAGGAUCGGCUAACUCCGUGCCAGCAGCCGCGGUAAUACGGAGGAUCCGAGCGUUAUCCGGAUUUAUUGGGUUUAAAGGGAGCGUAGGUGGAUUGUUAAGUCAGUUGUGAAAGUUUGCGGCUCAACCGUAAAAUUGCAGUUGAAACUGGCAGUCUUGAGUACAGUAGAGGUGGGCGGAAUUCGUUGUGUAGCGGUGAAAUGCUUAGAUAUCACGAAGAACUCCGAUUGCGAAGGCAGUUCACUGGACUGCAACUGACACUGAGGCUCGAAAGUGUGGGUAUCAAACAGGAUUAGAUACCCCAGUAGUC
This 460-nucleotide ribosomal RNA is filed under the name uncultured bacterium. RNAcentral's name for it is "partial 16S ribosomal RNA". It matches the Rfam family "Bacterial small subunit ribosomal RNA", at positions 338 to 795 of the family's 1533-position model. The record is from RNAcentral.